RNAcentral lists this ribosomal RNA (430 nucleotides) under uncultured bacterium. Its description in RNAcentral is "bacterial SSU rRNA". It matches the Rfam family "Bacterial small subunit ribosomal RNA", at positions 340 to 786 of the family's 1533-position model. The record is from RNAcentral.
UACGGGAGGUAGCAGUGGGGAAUAUUGGACAAUGGGCGAAAGCCUGAUCCAGCCAUGCCGCAUGAGUGAAGAAGGCCUUCGGGUUGUAAAGCUCUUUUAGUGAGAAAGAUAAUGACGGUACUCACAGAAGAAGUCCUGGCUAACUCCGUGCCAGCAGCCGCGGUAAUACGGAGAGGGCUAGCGUUAUUCGGAAUUAUUGGGCGUAAAGAGCGCGUAGGCUGAUUAGUAGUUAAAAGUGAAAUCCCAAAGCUUAACUUUGGAAUUGCUUUUUAAAACUGCUAGUCUAGAGAUUGAAAGAGGAUAGAGGAAUUCCUAGUGUAGAGGUGAAAUUCGUAAAUAUUAGGAGGAACACCAGUGGCGAAGGCGUCUAUCUGGUUCAAAUCUGACGCUGAGGCGCGAAGGCGUGGGGAGCAAACAGGGAUUAGAUACC